CAGCACCUCAAGUGGUCAGGAUGAUUAUUGGGCCUAAAGCAUCCGUAGCCGGCGCUGUAAGUUUUCGGUUAAAUCUGUACGCUCAACGUACAGGCUGCCGGGAAUACUGCAGCGCUAGGGAGUGGGAGAGGUAGACGGUACUCGGUAGGAAGGGGUAAAAUCCUUUGAUCUAUUGAUGACCACCUGUGGCGUAGGCGGUCUACCAGAACACGUCCGACGGUGAGGGAUGAAAGCUGGGGGAGCAAACCGGAUUAGAUACCCGCGUAGUCC
RNAcentral lists this ribosomal RNA (270 nucleotides) under uncultured archaeon. RNAcentral describes it as "partial 16S ribosomal RNA". It matches the Rfam family "Archaeal small subunit ribosomal RNA", at positions 477 to 747 of the family's 1478-position model. The record is from RNAcentral.